Dermacentor albipictus is the source of this 323-nucleotide long non-coding RNA. RefSeq lists it as uncharacterized. The record is from RefSeq and is a predicted model, not a curated record. NCBI's taxonomy places the organism in Eukaryota, Metazoa, Arthropoda, Arachnida, Ixodida, Ixodidae.
AUGACUGCUUGGGAAAAGGCGAGCGAGGCCUAUCUCCAAAAAAGAACCUGGCCGCCGGAGGGUGCAGGCGUGGCUGCGCGCAGGAUUGAGCGAGGCGAGCGGCGUCGGGGAGCGGAUUCAUUUGGGCUUCAAGGAGGCCAGUGGUGCUUAAAUCGACCGCUGGGCAGACGUCUUCACAUUGCAGUGGAUGCAGUGGAGGUUCGCAAUUUUAUCGUUCUACCCAUCGGAGCACGAUCUUGAUGCAGUCAACAACGUUGCCGCAAAUGAACGCAACGACAUUUCUAGUUCAUGCAGCUGCACAUAGAGCAAGAAAGUUGCUUCUG